Molecule: long non-coding RNA, 2321 nt
Organism: Phyllostomus hastatus (greater spear-nosed bat)
Lineage: Eukaryota; Metazoa; Chordata; Mammalia; Chiroptera; Phyllostomidae
Exons: 6
Source: RefSeq, a predicted model, not a curated record
UUCUGAGCAGGGCUGCUCCGCCUGAGGCAGGGUCAGCUUUGAGUAAAGGCCAGGGCGGUUUCCCCAGACAGGCCGGGCUAGGCCUGGGGCCAGGACCUCUGACUCUGCUUUCACCCUUUGGUCAAAGGGAUUACUAGGGGGUCCUUUGUGAGUGACCUUCCCUAGUGUCCCAAGCCAUUUCUCUGGACAUUACCUUGUGCUACCUUCACAACUACCCUGUGAGGUAGGAAUUAAAAGGACAGAAAGUCUCUUUCAGGCUCUCUUUACCGGACGGAGCUAGCCAGCCUUUUCUUGACCUUGUCAGCCAUAAUUAACUGUUAUUUUUCUGAGCCUCUAUUAUCAGGACUGGGAAAUUGCUGCAAGUACCCUAAAGACACCGAUGUCCUGAAAAAUCGCCAAACAGGUGGUGCAAGGUCGCAGUGACUGGGCCCUGCUCCUUAAGAUGACAUCGGGGUGAACUGAAGCCCCCACGAAACCGACUGAGGCAUCCUUGUUCCAGCCGCCAGCGGCAGCCCCUCGCCCUUCAGAGCCCAGUUCAAAGCUCACGGUCUUCGCACCAAGCACCUUUCCUCUCCCGGAAAGUGAGCAUGAACUUUACUCUCUGCAUUUUCUUUUCUUUGUGAAUUCUUUCACAGCCCACGGCACUGGCCACCCGGACAGGCAGUAGCAGCCCUACUCGAAAGGGGAAGCCAAGGCCCAGGAGAGGUAAAGGAGGGAGCUUCGCUGAAAGUUGCGCAGCAAGUUAAACGCAGUACCAGCCUCAGGUGGGAGGAGAAAGCACCCCCAAAACUCUCAAAGAGUCACCGUGAAAAAGGAGAUGACAUGGAAAAGAGAGGCCACCUCUAAAUGGAGACACACGUUUGGGUGCUGGUUUGCCCAAGAGCCCUUGUGAUUUGGAAGUCUUAUCUUUUGAGAAGUUUUCCCCUCUUCUGAAGGACAGCGGCCCAAGACUGAGCCGAGGAUCACACCCGAUGAGCAAUGACACGAGGGAUCGAGGGAUCGAGCCUAUUCAAGGACACACCUGGAAAGCCGGUGAAUAUUCUGACUGAGACCUCCCCUGAAAUUGCCACCUGCAGAAACCAGAUGAAAGCUCUCGAGACAAAGGACGCAGGGUGCACUGUCUCUGGAGCACGUCCACGCCCCCACACUCCGCUCUUCCUCAGCUCUUGUUUCAGAAACUACAGAUAAAGCCCAUCCUGGCUCCUGGAAAACGGCCGACCUCCUGGGGCACUGCUGAAGACAACUCCCUGGGGACAAGGGGAGGCAUCAGGGUCUUCAUGUUCCAGGGAGAGACAGAGGACCACCCACCCCUGGGAACAUUCAGUGCCCAGGACAGGAAUGUUGCAGCCUCUUUCACCUGACCCUCCCCGAAUCUCAAAGCCCUCACCGCACCUUGUUUAUUCCCUGUUAUAAAAAGUCUGACCUGGAAAGAAAAGGGAAGAGGUCUGUUAGGGUGUGAACCCACGUCUUCUCAGACCGCCAGCCAUCUGAAUAAAGCUCCCAUAGAGAUUCAAUCACUGUCAUUGCUUAUUGGGUCUGGUAGUGACAGGCAGCCCGAAUGCCGGUGUCUUUUCCAGUUUUACUUUUACUUUCUCGCUCGCUCAGAAGGCCCUCCUCUUGCCUAACUUCUCAGCGAGCCAAAGCCGCCUCACCUUGUCUCAGGCCCCCCCCUGCUGUCAUCUUGCUUCUUCUGUCCUAAGUCUUUCCUUUGUCUCGGUGUCCCCAGCUUUAUUAAACACACCCUCAAAUUCACCUGGACUCAUAUCUUGAAGUCAAGAACCACACUUUCCAAAGUGUGUUGGGGCAGACCUGCCCGCCUCUGCCCAGUCCCUUCCCAGGAACACCCCAACUUUAAUGACACCCCUGGAAAACAUGCAGAAUAGCUUCAAUUUGCUGGCCAGAGCUGUGCCUUGGGCCAGAGUUAAAGAGGCUCAUAGAGGAAACCCAAGGGAGAAACCACCUGGCUUUCUAAGAUGGGCUUUGUUUUGACUGGCUAAGUCCAGGGCAGGCGGAGGACUUCCCAAGUGGUCCAGUCCUACCUCAUUUUGGCUGGACAGUUCUUCCCUUACAUUCUCUCUGUCCUCACACAUUAUCCAGUAAGCAGGAAGAAGGAACCAGGUUACACCUUCAACAGUUUGCUUGGAAAUCUCAACUAAAUAUCCAAGUUCACGGUUUACAAGCUCUGCCUUCCACACAUCUGUAGAACGAAAUUUAUUUAAGUUUCUAUCUCUGCGUAACUGGAUCUUCUGGCACUUUGCUAUUGGUCAGAAUUCCUUUUCUUGGAAGGGUGAGAAACUCAAUGCUAACUGGUUUAGGCCAAA